RNAcentral lists this ribosomal RNA (406 nucleotides) under uncultured bacterium. RNAcentral's name for it is "partial 16S ribosomal RNA". It matches the Rfam family "Bacterial small subunit ribosomal RNA", at positions 30 to 526 of the family's 1533-position model. The record is from RNAcentral.
AUUGAACGCUGGCGGCAGGCCUAACACAUGCAAGUCGAGCGAGUGGCGGACGGGUGAGUAAUGUCUGGGAAACUGCCUGAUGGAGGGGGAUAACUACUGGAAACGGUAGCUAAUACCGCAUACCAUCAGAUGUGCCCAGAUGGGAUUAGCUCGUAGGUGGGGUAAAGGCUCACCUAGGCGACGAUCCCUAGCUGGUCUGAGAGGAUGACCAGCCAAACUGGAACUGAGACACGGUCCAGACUCCUACGGGAGGCAGCAGUGGGUAAUAUUGCACAAUGGGCGCAAGCCUGAUGCAGCCAUGCCGCGUGUAUGAAGAAGGCCUUCGGGUUGUAAAGCACUUUCAGCGGGGAGGCGUUACCCGCAGAAGAAGCACCGGCUAACUCCGUGCCAGCAGCCGCGGUAAUAC